UCGGUGAGAUAGUGCUAAAAAUAAAAAGACCAUUCCUAUGGAACGGUUAUUUCAAUGAGUAGAUCUUAAAUCUAUCUUCGAGUAUCUAGUGGAGGGCAAGUCUGGUGCCAGCAGCCGCGUAAUUCCAGCUCCACAAGUGUAAAUCGUCAUUGCUGCGGUUAAAAAGCUCGUAGUUGGACCUUAGUUACGUACUUUGAUUCGCCUUUGGUGUAAUCAUUGUCGUGACUAUUUUGGUGGGUUUCUGUUGGUGGGCUCCGGUCCUUCAGUGGCUAGCGAGUUUACUUUGGAUUAAUUAGAGUGCUCCAAACAAGGGUUUCUUUAAUGCCUCGAUCAUGAAUAAUAAAAGAGGACUUUCGUUUCUUUUUGUGGUUCAGGAACUGAAUUAAUGGUUAAGGAGGAAAACUCCGGGGCAUUCCUAUUCCUGCGCGGAGGGGGGAAUUCGUGGACCGCCAGGGGCCCCCCUAAAGGAAAGAUUUGGCCAGCAUGUCCUCAAUAAACAAGAAC
RNAcentral lists this ribosomal RNA (504 nucleotides) under Heterorhabditis bacteriophora. Its description in RNAcentral is "bacterial SSU rRNA". It matches the Rfam family "Eukaryotic small subunit ribosomal RNA", at positions 456 to 984 of the family's 1831-position model. The record is from RNAcentral. Lineage: Eukaryota; Metazoa; Nematoda; Chromadorea; Rhabditida; Heterorhabditidae.